UCUGUUUGCAUGAUGAUCCCCAAUCCAAUGCAUAGUUCAUCUGAUACCUGAUGAAAACUUGCCUUCUUACGUCUUUCGCUCCCAUCUGACUGCUACC
Stachybotrys chartarum IBT 40288 is the source of this 97-nucleotide non-coding RNA. Lineage: Eukaryota; Fungi; Ascomycota; Sordariomycetes; Hypocreales; Stachybotryaceae. The record is from Rfam.